ACACAUGCAAGUCGAGGGGCAGCAUGAUUGAAGCUUGCUUCAAUUGAUGGCGACCGGCGCACGGGUGAGUAACGCGUAUCCAACCUUCCGUACACUCAGGGAUAGCCUUUCGAAAGAAAGAUUAAUACCUGAUGGUAUGAUGAGAUUGCAUGAUAGCAUCAUUAAAGAUUUAUCGGUGUACGAUGGGGAUGCGUUCCAUUAGGUAGUAGGCGGGGUAACGGCCCACCUAGCCUACGAUGGAUAGGGGUUCUGAGAGGAAGGUCCCCCACAUUGGAACUGAGACACGGUCCAAACUCCUACGGGAGGCAGCAGUGAGGAAUAUUGGUCAAUGGACGAGAGUCUGAACCAGCCAAGUAGCGUGAAGGAUGAAGGUCUUACGGAUUGUAAACUUCUUUUAUAAGGGAAUAAAACCUCCCACGUGUGGGAGCUUGUAUGUACCUUAUGAAUAAGCAUCGGCUAACUCCGUGCCAGCAGCCGCGGUAAUACGGAGGAUGCGAGCGUUAUCCGGAUUUAUUGGGUUUAAAGGGAGCGCAGACGGGUCGUUAAGUCAGCUGUGAAAGUUUGGGGCUCAACCUUAAAAUUGCAGUUGAUACUGGCGUCCUUGAGUGCGGUUGAGGUGUGCGGAAUUCGUGGUGUAGCGGUGAAAUGCUUAGAUAUCACGAAGAACUCCGAUUGCGAAGGCAGCACACUAAGCCGUAACUGACGUUCAUGCUCGAAAGUGUGGGUAUCAAACAGGAUUAGAUACCCUGGUAGUCCACACGGUAAACGAUGGAUACUCGCUGUUGGCGAUAUACUGUCAGCGGCUUAGCGAAAGCGUUAAGUAUCCCACCUGGGGAGUACGCCGGCAACGGUGAAACUCAAAGGA
RNAcentral lists this ribosomal RNA (865 nucleotides) under uncultured bacterium. RNAcentral's name for it is "bacterial SSU rRNA". It matches the Rfam family "Bacterial small subunit ribosomal RNA", at positions 51 to 908 of the family's 1533-position model. The record is from RNAcentral.